This 1306-nucleotide ribosomal RNA is filed under the name uncultured bacterium. RNAcentral's name for it is "bacterial SSU rRNA". It matches the Rfam family "Bacterial small subunit ribosomal RNA", at positions 28 to 1381 of the family's 1533-position model. The record is from RNAcentral.
AACGUACGCUGGCGGCACGCCUAACACAUGCAAGUCGAACGAAGUAGCAAUACUUAGUGGCAGACGGGUGAGUAACAUGUAGGUAUCUGCCCUUUGGCCUGGAAUAACACGAGGAAACUUGUGCUAAUACCGGAUAAGUCUUUACGGAGAAAGCUUUAUGCACCAUUGGAUGAGCCUGCACUUGAUUAGUUUGUUGGUGGGGUAAUGGCCUACCAAGACUGUGAUCAAUAGCUGAUUUGAGAGGAUGAUCAGCCACAUUGGGACUGAGACACGGCCCAAACUCCUACGGGAGGCAGCAGUGGGGAAUCUUGCACAAUGGAGGAAACUCUGAUGCAGCGAUGCCGCGUGAGUGAAGAAGGCCCUUGGGUUGUAAAGCUCUUUCGUCGGGGAAGAAAAUGACUGUACCCGAAUAAGAAGGUCCGGCUAACUUCGUGCCAGCAGCCGCGGUAAUACGAAGGGACCUAGCGUAGUUCGGAAUUACUGGGCUUAAAGAGUUCGUAGGUGGUUGAAAAAGUUAGUGGUGAAAUCCCAGAGCUUAACUCUGGAACUGCCAUUAAAACUUUUCAGCUAGAGUAUGAUAGAGGAAAGCAGAAUUUCUAGUGUAGAGGUGAAAUUCGUAGAUAUUAGAAAGAAUACCAAUUGCGAAGGCAGCUUUCUGGAUCAUUACUGACACUGAGGAACGAAAGCAUGGGUAGCGAAGAGGAUUAGAUACCCUCGUAGUCCAUGCCGUAAACGAUGUGUGUUAGACGUUGGAAAUUUAUUUUCAGUGUCGCAGGGAAACCGAUAAACACACCGCCUGGGGAGUACGACCGCAAGGUUAAAACUCAAAUGAAUUGACGGGGACCCGCACAAGUAGUGGAGCAUGUGGUUUAAUUCGAAGAUACGCGCAGAACCUUACCAACACUUGACAUGUUCGUCGCGACUCUAAGAGAUUAGAGUUUUCGGUUCGGCCGGACGAAACACAGGUGCUGCAUGGCUGUCGUCAGCUCGUGUCGUGAGAUGUUGGGUUAAGUCCCGCAACGAGCGCAACCCUCACUUUUAGUUGCCAUCAUUAAGUUGGGCACUCUGAAAGAACUGCCAGUGAUAAGCUGGAGGAAGGUGGGGAUGACGUCAAGUCCUCAUGGCCCUUACGUGUUGGGCUACACACGUGCUACAAUGGUAUCUACAACAGGAAGCAAGACUGCGAAGUUAAGCAAAUCCCUAAAAGAUACCUCAGUUCGGAUUGCACUCUGCAACUCGAGUGCAUGAAGCUGGAAUUACUAGUAAUCGUGGAUCAGCGUGCCACGGUGAGUGCGUUCCCGGGUCU